ACAAAAUAUUAAAAUAAGAUUUUAAAAUAUGGAGUUGCAGAAUAGGUGAAACAAUUCGGAAAAGAACAAAGUUGGAGGACUCACACUGCCUGAUAUUAAGAGUUACUCUGAAAGUGGUCUGGAACUCAACCUAUCGUAUCUCUAUGGAAUACCCGUAUACAAUUUGAUGAGUCUGACAUACACCUUUGAAACAACAAUCAAGGUCACAGAGCCAUGGCAAUGUUCUCUGAACAAUAAAGAACUGAUUAUGCUACAAACUCUGAGAAUGCAAAAGUGGACCUUUUCCCAACUUGACCCAACAUUCAGGAACCCUCUGCCCAUUUGCUAAGUGCAUGAGUACUGUCGCAUCUCACUUCAUAUGAGCCUCACUGAUGGGACUUGACAAAUGUCUCCAUGUCAGUAUCCAGGCUGCCAAUGAUUUGGACCCAAUUUAUAUCACAAACUGCAUAUAAAUUAAAAGAUCGAUUGACAGGGAUCCAUGUCUUCAAUUAACCUUGUAAAAUUUUUAUUUAACUAGUUAAGUUUGUGUGGCUUAUGGGGUGAUCAGUUUGCAACGUGUACAAAUGUCAUAUCACUAUGUUGUCCACUUGAAACUAAUAUACGAUGGUAUGUUAAUUAUACUUCAAUAAAAAAAGAUGGCAAAUGUAAAGUGGAAAAAAAGGUAAUAAUUAAAUGAUAUUAUCUACCUCAGAGGAGUUUUGUGAGAAUGAAGUGAAAUAAUGCAUUUAAUACACCAAACACAAUACCUAACACACUG
This is a long non-coding RNA of Leopardus geoffroyi (Geoffroy's cat), 757 nucleotides long. RefSeq lists it as uncharacterized. The transcript has 4 exons. Lineage: Eukaryota; Metazoa; Chordata; Mammalia; Carnivora; Felidae. The record is from RefSeq and is a predicted model, not a curated record.